CCUACGGGUGGCUGCAGUGAGGAAUAUUGGUCAAUGGCCGAGAGGCUGAACCAGCCAAGUCGCGUUAGGGAAGACGGCCCUACGGGUUGUAAACCUCUUUUGUCGGGGAGCAAAGCGAGUCACGUGUGACUCAUUGAGAGUCCCCGAAGAAAAAGCAUCGGCUAACUCCGUGCCAGCCGCCGCGGUAAUACGGAGGAUGCGAGCGUUAUCCGGAUUUAUUGGGUUGAAAGGGUGCGCAGGCGGAGGUGCAAGUCAGCGGGAAAAUGGCGGGGCUCAACCCCGGACUGCCGUUGAAACUGCAUCACUUGAGUGCGCGAGAGGUAGGCGGAAUGCGUGGUGUAGCGGUGAAAUGCAUAGAGAUCACGCAGAACUCCGAUUGCGAAGGCAGCAUACCGGCGCGCAACUGACGCUCAUGCACGAAAGCGUGGGUAUCGAACAGGAUUAGAUACCCUAGUAGUC
This 459-nucleotide ribosomal RNA is filed under the name uncultured bacterium. RNAcentral's name for it is "partial 16S ribosomal RNA". It matches the Rfam family "Bacterial small subunit ribosomal RNA", at positions 338 to 795 of the family's 1533-position model. The record is from RNAcentral.